This 465-nucleotide long non-coding RNA is filed under the name Pan troglodytes (chimpanzee). RNAcentral describes it as "lincRNA". The record is from RNAcentral. Lineage: Eukaryota; Metazoa; Chordata; Mammalia; Primates; Hominidae.
GGCCCUGGGACCCGCCCCACCCGAACCCCGGGGAGAUCCAACCGCAGGCUGCCUCCGGCCAGCGGACUCAUUCACACUCCGCAAACAGGCUGGGGCCAGACGCCGCCCUGCCCUAGGUGCCCAGCAAACACGUGGGCCAGCCAGACCCCUGGACCUUCACAGGGAGGAGGAGAUGGAGAUGGGUUCACCCCCCACAAAGGAGGGAGGGGAGGGGUUGGCCGCCAUGCCCAGGUGCCGGGACAGGAGCCGAGGGCCGCGUGCACCCCUUGGGCCCUUGGAGGGGCCGGCAUGUGCCUCUCUGUCCCUGUGCCACUUCCACUGGCCGUACAGGGCCACCACCGCGGAAACCGCAUGUGUAACCCCUGGAAACAGGGUCCUCCUUGAUGAGUCAUGUUCUAAGUUGGGAGGAAAAUUCACUGGAUAGUGGAGGCAGUAGAAAGAAAUUAAAAAAGUCUUUGUUCCACA